GCAUAUCAAUAAGCGGAGGAAAAGAAACCAACAGGGAUUGCCUCAGUAACGGCGAGUGAAGCGGCAACAGCUCAAAUUUGAAAUCUGGCCCUAGGCCCGAGUUGUAAUUUGCAGAGGAUGCUUCGGGCGCGGUGCCUUCCAAGUCCCCUGGAACGGGGCGCCGGAGAGGGUGAGAGCCCCGUACGGUUGGCGGCCAAGCCUGUGUGAAGCUCCUUCGACGAGUCGAGUAGUUUGGGAAUGCUGCUCUAAGCGGGAGGUAGACCCCUUCUAAAGCUAAAUAUAGGCCAGAGACCGAUAGCGCACAAGUAGAGUGAUCGAAAGAUGAAAAGCACUUUGAAAAGAGGGUUAAACAGCACGUGAAAUUGUUGAAAGGGAAGCGCUUGUGACCAGACGUGCGCCGGGGUGUUCAGCGGGCGUUCUCGCCCGUGCACUCGCCUCGGCGCAGGCCAGCGUCGGUUUGGAUGGGGGGAUAAAGGCGCCUGGAAUGUGGCUCCCUCGGGAGUGUUAUAGCCAGGCGUGCCAUGCUCCCGUCCGGACCGAGGUACGCGUUCUGCAAGGACGCUGGCGUAAUGGUCCCCAGCGACCCGUCUUGAAACACGGACCAAGGAGUCGAGGUUUUGCGCGAGUGUUUGGGUGUUAAACCCGCACGCGUAAUGAAAGUGAACGUAGGUGGGAGCUUCGGCGCACCACCGACCGAUCCUGAUGUUUUCGGAUGGAUUUGAGUAAGAGCGUAGGGCCUCGGACCCGAAAGAUGGUGAACUAUGCUUGGAUAGGGUGAAGCCAGAGGAAACUCUGGUGGAGGCUCGCAGCGGUUCUGACGUGCAAAUCGAUCGUCAAAUCUGAGCAUGGGGGCGAAAGACUAAUCGAACCAUCUAGUAGCUGGUUACCGCCGAA
This 894-nucleotide ribosomal RNA is filed under the name Chloridium mirabile. Its description in RNAcentral is "LSU rRNA". It matches the Rfam family "Eukaryotic large subunit ribosomal RNA", at positions 38 to 965 of the family's 3401-position model. Lineage: Eukaryota; Fungi; Ascomycota; Sordariomycetes; Chaetosphaeriales; Chaetosphaeriaceae. The record is from RNAcentral.